UAUUGCACAAUGGGCGCAAGCCUGAUGCAGCCAUGCCGCGUGUGUGAAGAAGGCCUUCGGGUAGUAAAGCACUUUCAGUAAGGAGGAAAGGGUAGUCUUUAAUAGAGGUUAUCUGUGACGUUACUUACAGAAGAAGCACCGGCUAACUCCGUGCCAGCAGCCGCGGUAAUACGGAGGGUGCGAGCGUUAAUCGGAAUUACUGGGCGUAAAGCGUACGCAGGCGGUUUGUUAAGCGAGAUGUGAAAGCCCCGGGCUCAACCUGGGAACUGCAUUUCGAACUGGCAAACUAGAGUGUGAUAGAGGGUGGUAGAAUUUCAGGUGUAGCGGUGAAAUGCGUAGAGAUCUGAAGGAAUACCGAUGGCGAAGGCAGCCACCUGGGUCAACACUGACGCUCAUUACGAA
This 402-nucleotide ribosomal RNA is filed under the name uncultured bacterium. RNAcentral's name for it is "bacterial SSU rRNA". It matches the Rfam family "Bacterial small subunit ribosomal RNA", at positions 362 to 757 of the family's 1533-position model. The record is from RNAcentral.